UACGAAGGGGGCUAGCGUUGCUCGGAAUUACUGGGCGUAAAGCGCACGUAGGCGGUUUCUUAAGUCGGGGGUGAAAUCCUGGAGCUCAACUCCAGAACUGCCUUCGAUACUGGGAAACUUGAGUCCGGGAGAGGUGAGUGGAACUGCGAGUGUAGAGGUGAAAUUCGUAGAUAUUCGCAAGAACACCAGUGGCGAAGGCGGCUCACUGGUCCGGUACUGACGCUGAGGUGCGAAAGCGUGGGGAGCAAACAGG
RNAcentral lists this ribosomal RNA (253 nucleotides) under uncultured bacterium. RNAcentral describes it as "partial 16S ribosomal RNA". It matches the Rfam family "Bacterial small subunit ribosomal RNA", at positions 524 to 776 of the family's 1533-position model. The record is from RNAcentral.